Molecule: non-coding RNA, 496 nt
Organism: Theobroma cacao (cacao)
Lineage: Eukaryota; Viridiplantae; Streptophyta; Magnoliopsida; Malvales; Malvaceae
Source: RefSeq, a predicted model, not a curated record
UCUUCUUCCCAUCCUUCUUCCCCAUUUCAAGUUUUCCAUCUUCCAUGGAGGCCACCCUUAAAACCUCCAUAACCUUCUCAUAGUAACCUCAAAUCUCAUGUUUUUAGUACACUUUUUCAUAGGGUUUUUCGUUCUCUUUCACUUUUUCACCUCAAAAACCCUCAAAAAGUUUUUCCUAUGCACUUUCUCUCACUAUUUGAACAUUUUAGAGAGAGAGACUCUUCAAAGUAUCUUGAGAAAACCCUUAAAAGAAUUUUUUCUCUUAAAUUCUAACUAAAGGAUUCAACUACAAGUUCACCAAGAUUCCAACGAGACCCCACAUAUCCAUUUGGAGCAAUAGUCGAAGUUGGAGUUGAUCAAAAAAUCAACAAAGAUAGGUGGUGAGCAUUUUGGCAAAAGUCAAGAGAUAGUACCCGAGGAUCAAGAAUCGAAGUACUCUGAAUUCGAUUCCGAUUAUAGCUCAGGAUAGUCAGUAGAUAGCUCACUUUGUUGAGGG